This 457-nucleotide ribosomal RNA is filed under the name uncultured organism. RNAcentral describes it as "partial 16S ribosomal RNA". It matches the Rfam family "Bacterial small subunit ribosomal RNA", at positions 329 to 799 of the family's 1533-position model. The record is from RNAcentral.
ACGUACACUCCUACGGGAGGCAGCAGUGGGGAAUUUUACGCAAUGGGGGAAACCCUGACGUAGCGACACCGCGUGAGCGAAGAAGCCCUUUGGGGUGUAAAGCUCUGUCAGCUGGAACGAAAACAAUGACGGUACCAGCAGAGGAAGCAUCGGCUAACUACGUGCCAGCAGCCGCGGUAAGACGUAGGAUGCGAGCGUUGUCCGGAUUUAUUGGGCGUAAAGAGUUCGUAGGUGGUUUGUUAAGUUUGGUGUUAAAGAUCGGGGCUCAACCCUGGGACUGCACUGAAUACUGGCAGACUCGAGUGUGGUAGAGGCUAGUGGAAUUCCCAGUGUAGCGGUGAAAUGCGUAGAUAUUGGGAAGAACACCGGUGGCGUAGGCGACUAGCUGGGCCAUAACUGACGCUGAGGAACGAAAGCCAGGGGAGCGAAUGGGAUUAGAAACCCGAGUAGUCCCAUG